GUGGUUCUCGCCAGUGCCUUUUUCCAGGUUUCAUGGGGAAUAGCAGACAAGGACCCCUCAGGCUCAUCUGAUUGCUUCGACGUUCAGGAAGUGCUCAAAGAACUUCUGAGCAUCAGAGUAGCACCACAUCCCCGUGUCAAGGAAAAAGCCCUGGGUGAAAGGGUGUCUAGACUGCAAAAGUACCAGUGUCUUCGUCUGCAAGAGGGGACCUUAGACAGGAUGGGAAAUUCACAGAGAAGUGACUACAACAGGAAUUCAGACUCCUCUUCUGUUAAGCUGAAGGUUACACAACUGGAGGAGAGGCUGGAUGAACUAAAUGAGGCGUUUGUUGAAUUGACAGUACAGGCCAUGAGUCUGCAAGAAGAUGGGGAUCUAUUGGAGAAAGAGCUGAGAACACAGGAGGAGUCACUUGUGACUGCAAGCAACAAAGAAGCUCAGCAGUAUUCUGAAAUGUUAGAUUCUUGGGUCACAAAGAGGGAUGAAGCCUUGCUGCUGGAAAUAGAGAGGAACUGGAUUGCUCAGAAGAUUGAAGAGAUGGAAGCACAACUAUUGCAUCUUAAAAGUAAAGCAGCCAGCAGUUCACCUCCUUGAGGAACCUAAAGGCAGUGGUUACAGCACAGAUGUCACAGUGUGUUAAUUAGAGGAUGAGACUUCAGUGCCAAGGAGCCCAGACAGAAGCCCUCAGCUCUGGUCCCACUUACUGGUGUCUCUGGUGGAUCCAGAGGAACUUCAUGUUCUUUUGCCCUCAUCUGAUUUUGCUGAUUACAUGUUUUCUGAGCUUGCUCCCAGAUGCAGAAGGUUUGUUUUGCUUCCUUUGCAACCUCACCUUGGGAAAAUUCAGUUAUUUGCUGGCACUUUGAAGGGCCUUUAAGGAAAUGACAGGAUUUAUGGAAGCCAAAUAUACCUAUUGGCAAACACUAUGAAACAGUGGGAUUUUCUUUCCUAGAUUGCAGCAGUGAAAAGGCUGCCGUUGCUCUCCUUAUUGCUUUCAUCUUUUAGGUUAUCAGCAGAUACUUUUACAACAGUACUACCUGGAAGUAAGCAUCUUCAGACACUGCUGUCUCUGGAAUAUCCACAGGAAAACAUCUAGAUAGGUGGUGAAGUUAGCUCUGUGUGCUCUGUGUGUUGUAUUUUUAAAAGGCAGACUGGGAGGCGUUAGCAAAUAAAAUGUGUCAAUUUUUCA
This 1183-nucleotide long non-coding RNA is filed under the name Chrysolophus pictus (golden pheasant). Its description in RNAcentral is "lncRNA (ENSCPIG00010004287.1)". Lineage: Eukaryota; Metazoa; Chordata; Aves; Galliformes; Phasianidae. The record is from RNAcentral.